GAUGAACGCUGGCGGCGUGCUUAACACAUGCAAGUCGAACGAUGAAGCCCAGCUUGCUGGGUGGAUUAGUGGCGAACGGGUGAGUAACACGUGAGUAACCUGCCCUUAACUCUGGGAUAAGCCUGGGAAACUGGGUCUAAUACCGGAUAGGAGCGUCCACCGCAUGGUGGGUGUUGGAAAGAUUUAUCGGUUUUGGAUGGACUCGCGGCCUAUCAGCUUGUUGGUGAGGUAAUGGCUCACCAAGGCGACGACGGGUAGCCGGCCUGAGAGGGUGACCGGCCACACUGGGACUGAGACACGGCCCAGACUCCUACGGGAGGCAGCAGUGGGGAAUAUUGCACAAUGGGCGCAAGCCUGAUGCAGCGACGCCGCGUGAGGGAUGACGGCCUUCGGGUUGUAAACCGCUUUCAGUAGGGAAGAAGCGAAAGUGACGGUACCUGCAGAAGAAGCACCGGCUAACUACGUG
This 466-nucleotide ribosomal RNA is filed under the name uncultured bacterium. RNAcentral's name for it is "partial 16S ribosomal RNA". It matches the Rfam family "Bacterial small subunit ribosomal RNA", at positions 28 to 507 of the family's 1533-position model. The record is from RNAcentral.